This 442-nucleotide ribosomal RNA is filed under the name uncultured bacterium. RNAcentral describes it as "bacterial SSU rRNA". It matches the Rfam family "Bacterial small subunit ribosomal RNA", at positions 338 to 795 of the family's 1533-position model. The record is from RNAcentral.
CCUACGGGAGGCUGCAGUCGAGAAUCUUCCUCAAUGGCCGAAAGGCUGAAGGAGCGACGCCGCGUGCAUGAAGAAGCCCUUCGGGGCGUAAAGUGCUUUUAACUGGGACGAAUCAAUGACGGUACCAGUUGAAUAAGGGGCUGCUAACCUCGUGCCAGCAGCAGCGGUAAUACGAGGGCCCCAAGCGUUAUCCGGAUUUAUUGGGCGUAAAGCGUCCGUAGGCGGUUUGUCGCAUCUCCUGUUAAAUCCUUCGGCUCAACCGAGGGGCAGCGGGAGAGAUGGAUAAGCUAGAGACUGGAAAAGGCAAGUGGAAUUGCUGGUGUAGGGGUUAAAUCCGUUAAUAUCAGCAAGAACACCAAAUGCGAAGGCAACUUGCUAGGACAGUUCUGACGCUCAAGGACGAAAGCGUGGGUAGCGAAUGGGAUUAGAUACCCUGGUAGUC